RNAcentral lists this ribosomal RNA (253 nucleotides) under uncultured bacterium. RNAcentral's name for it is "partial 16S ribosomal RNA". It matches the Rfam family "Bacterial small subunit ribosomal RNA", at positions 524 to 776 of the family's 1533-position model. The record is from RNAcentral.
UACGGAGGGAGCGAGCGUUAAUCGGAAUUACUGGGCGUAAAGGGUGCGUAGGUGGUUGAUUAAGUUAUCUGUGAAAUUCCUGGGCUUAACCUGGGACGGUCAGAUAAUACUGGUUGACUCGAGUAUGGGAGAGGGUAGUGGAAUUUCCGGUGUAGCGGUGAAAUGCGUAGAGAUCGGAAGGAACACCAGUGGAGAAGGCGGCUACCUGGCCUAAUACUGACACUGAGGCACGAAAGCGUGGGGAGCAAACAGU